ACUCCUGACUGACCGAUAGUGAACCAGUACCGUGAGGGAAAGGCGAAAAGAACCCCGGCGAGGGGAGUGAAAAAGAACCUGAAACCGUGUACGUACAAGCAGUGGGAGCACCCUUCGGGGUGUGACUGCGUACCUUUUGUAUAAUGGGUCAGCGACUUAUAUUCUGUAGCAAGGUUAACCGAAUAGGGGAGCCGGAGGGAAACCGAGUCUUAAUUGGGCGUUAAGUUGCAGGGUAUAGACCCGAAACCCGGUGAUCUAGCCAUGGGCAGGUUGAAGGUUGGGUAACACUAACUGGAGGACCGAACCGACUAAUGUUGAAAAAUUAGCGGAUGACCUGUGGCUGGGGGUGAAAGGCCAAUCAAACCGGGAGAUAGCUGGUUCUCCCCGAAAGCUAUUUAGGUAGCGCCUCGUGAAUUCAUCUCCGGGGGUAGAGCACUGUUUCGGCUAGGGGGCCAUCCCGGCUUACCAACCCGAUGCAAACUGCGAAUACCGGAGAAUGUUAUCACGGGAGACACACGGCGGGUGCUAACGUCCGUCGUGAAGAGGGAAACAACCCAGACCGCCAGCUAAGGUCCCAAAGUCAUGGUUAAGUGGGAAACGAUGUGGGAAGGCCCAGACAGCCAGGAUGUUGGCUUAGAAGCAGCCAUCAUUUAAAGAAAGCGUAAUAGCUCACUGGUCGAGUCGGCCUGCGCGGAAGAUGUAACGGGGCUAAACCAUGCACCGAAGCUGCGGCAGCGACGCUUAUGCGUUGUUGGGUAGGGGAGCGUUCUGUAAGCCUGUGAAGGUGGCCUGUGAGGGUUGCUGGAGGUAUCAGAAGUGCGAAUGCUGACAUAAGUAACGAUAAAGCGGGUGAAAAGCCCGCUCGCCGGAAGACCAAGGGUUCCUGUCCAACGUUAAUCGGGGCAGGGUGAGUCGACCCCUAAGGCGAGGCCGA
RNAcentral lists this ribosomal RNA (934 nucleotides) under Salmonella enterica. Its description in RNAcentral is "partial 23S ribosomal RNA". It matches the Rfam family "Bacterial large subunit ribosomal RNA", at positions 472 to 1405 of the family's 2925-position model. Lineage: Bacteria; Pseudomonadati; Pseudomonadota; Gammaproteobacteria; Enterobacterales; Enterobacteriaceae. The record is from RNAcentral.